UGGGGAAUCUUCCGCAAUGGACGAAAGUCUGACGGAGCAACGCCGCGUGAGUGAAGAAGGUUUUCGGAUCGUAAAACUCUGUCUUUUGGGGCGAACGUGAGUAUGGUGAACAAUCAUAGUCAGUGACGGUACCAAAGGAGGAAGCCACGGCUAACUACGUGCCAGCAGCCGCGGUAAUACGUAGGUGGCAAGCGUUGUCCGGAAUUAUUGGGCGUAAAGAGCGCGUAGGCGGGAUAGUCAGUCUGUUGUAAAAGUGCGGGGCUCAACCCCGUGAUGGCAAUGGAAACAGCUAUUCUUGAGUGCAGGAGAGGAAAGUGGAAUUCCCAGUGUAGCGGUGAAAUGCGUAGAUAUUGGGAGGAACACCAGUGGCGAAGGCGACUUUCUGGACUGUGUCUGACGCUGAGGCGCGAAAGCCAGGGGAGCGAACGGGAUUAGAUACCCCGGUAGUCCUGGCCGUAAACGAUGGGUACUAGGUGUGGGAGGUAUCGACCCCUUCCGUGUCGGAGUUAACGCAAUAAGUACCCCGCCUGGGGAGUACGGUCGCAAGACUGAAACUUAAA
RNAcentral lists this ribosomal RNA (560 nucleotides) under uncultured bacterium. Its description in RNAcentral is "partial 16S ribosomal RNA". It matches the Rfam family "Bacterial small subunit ribosomal RNA", at positions 355 to 905 of the family's 1533-position model. The record is from RNAcentral.